This 67-nucleotide transfer RNA is filed under the name Anhinga anhinga (American anhinga). RNAcentral describes it as "tRNA-Phe". It matches the Rfam family "tRNA". Rfam says of the family: Transfer RNA (tRNA) molecules are approximately 80 nucleotides in length. Their secondary structure includes four short double-helical elements and three loops (D, anti-codon, and T loops). The record is from RNAcentral. Lineage: Eukaryota; Metazoa; Chordata; Aves; Suliformes; Anhingidae.
GUUUCUGUAGCUUAUAAAAGCAUAGCACUGAAGAUGCUAAGAUGGCUGCCACACACACCCAGAAACA